Molecule: ribosomal RNA, 459 nt
Filed under: uncultured bacterium
Lineage: Bacteria
Description: partial 16S ribosomal RNA
Rfam family: Bacterial small subunit ribosomal RNA
Source: RNAcentral
CCUACGGGAGGCAGCAGUGAGGAAUAUUGGUCAAUGGUCGGGAGACUGAACCAGCCAAGCCGCGUGAGGGAUGAAGGUACAGAGUAUCGUAAACCUCUUUUGUCAGGGAACAAAGGCGGGGACGUGUCCCCGGAUGAGUGUACCUGAAGAAAAAGCAUCGGCUAACUCCGUGCCAGCAGCCGCGGUAAUACGGAGGAUGCGAGCGUUAUCCGGAUUUAGUGGGUUUAAAGGGUGCGCAGGCGGGCUGUUAAGUCAGCGGUCAAAGCCCGGGGCUCAACCCCGGGCCGCCGUUGAAACUGGCAGUCUCGAGUUGGAGAGAAGUAUGCGGAAUGCGCGGUGUAGCGGUGAAAUGCAUAGAUAUCGCGCAGAACUCCGAUUGCGAAGGCAGCAUGCCGGCUCCACACUGACGCUGAGGCACGAAAGCGUGGGUAUCGAACAGGAUUAGAUACCCCUGUAGUC